Molecule: ribosomal RNA, 320 nt
Filed under: uncultured eukaryote
Lineage: Eukaryota
Description: partial 18S ribosomal RNA
Rfam family: Eukaryotic small subunit ribosomal RNA
Source: RNAcentral
CCCUUAGAUGUUCUGGGCCGCACGCGCGCUACACUGACGAAUGCAACGAGCUUAUAACCUUGGCCGAAAGGUCUGGGUAAUCUCCAAAUUUCGUCGUGAUGGGGAUAGAUUAUUGCAAUUAUUAAUCUUCAACGAGGAAUGCCUAGUAAGCGCAAGUCAUCAGCUUGCGUUGAUUACGUCCCUGCCCUUUGUACACACUGCCCGUCGCACCUACCGAUUGAAUGGUCCGGUGAAAUCUCGGGACGGCGGCUUGGUCGCUUGCGUCCGACUGCUGAAACUUGAUUAAACCAUAUCAUUUAGAGGAAGGUGAAGUCGUAACA